AUCUCAUCAAAUUCCAUACAGGUGUUUCUGGUGCCCUCGCUGUUCCAUUCUAAUUUGAGCCAAACCUGGUUGGAAGUGGUUUGUCUGGAGAAAUACCACCAUCCCUUCAAGGACCAUGGCUUUUGUCAGCAUUUUUCCCUGCUAUGCCAGCACAGCUUCAAGAUUCAGCCAACACCUCUCCUGCCUACUCUGUGCCAGGUGAAAAAGCCAAGCUGAGAGUGGGAAAAGAGAGCUGAGGAGCCGAGAAGAAAUGAAACCCAAGGGAGUUACAGUGUGGGUGGAAUGGGUGAAAUGCAUUUAUUAAAAGAUACUGAAACCCAAAA
Long non-coding RNA from Ornithorhynchus anatinus (platypus), 323 nucleotides. RefSeq lists it as uncharacterized. The transcript is spliced from 2 exons. Lineage: Eukaryota; Metazoa; Chordata; Mammalia; Monotremata; Ornithorhynchidae. The record is from RefSeq and is a predicted model, not a curated record.